This 449-nucleotide ribosomal RNA is filed under the name uncultured bacterium. RNAcentral describes it as "bacterial SSU rRNA". It matches the Rfam family "Bacterial small subunit ribosomal RNA", at positions 28 to 457 of the family's 1533-position model. The record is from RNAcentral.
GAUGAACGCUGGCGGCGUGCUUAACACAUGCAAGUCGAACGAAGCACUCUAUUUGAUUUUCUUCGGAGAUGAAGAUUUUGUGACUGAGUGGCGGACGGGUGAGUAACGCGUGGGUAACCUGCCUCAUACAGGGGGAUAACAGUUGGAAACGACUGCUAAUACCGCAUAAGCGCACAGGAUCGCAUGGUUCGGUGUGAAAAACUCCGGUGGUAUGAGAUGGACCCGCGUCUGAUUAGCCAGUUGGCAGGGUAACGGCCUACCAAAGCGACGAUCAGUAGCCGACCUGAGAGGGUGACCGGCCACAUUGGGACUGAGGCACGGCCCAAACUCCUACGGGAGGCAGCAGUGGGGAAUAUUGCACAAUGGGGGAAACCCUGAUGCAGCGACGCCGCGUGAGCGAAGAAGUAUUUCGGUAUGUAAAGCUCUAUCAGCAGGGAAGAAGAAUGACG